Phytophthora infestans T30-4 is the source of this 72-nucleotide transfer RNA. It matches the Rfam family "tRNA". From Rfam's summary of the family: Transfer RNA (tRNA) molecules are approximately 80 nucleotides in length. Their secondary structure includes four short double-helical elements and three loops (D, anti-codon, and T loops). The record is from Rfam. NCBI's taxonomy places the organism in Eukaryota, Oomycota, Peronosporomycetes, Peronosporales, Peronosporaceae.
GGGCGCAUAGCGCAGUGGUAGCGCGUCCGCUUUGCAAGCGGAAGGCCCCGGGUUCAAUCUCCGGUGUGUCCA